RNAcentral lists this ribosomal RNA (349 nucleotides) under Protomicroplitis calliptera. Its description in RNAcentral is "partial 16S large subunit ribosomal RNA". Lineage: Eukaryota; Metazoa; Arthropoda; Insecta; Hymenoptera; Braconidae. The record is from RNAcentral.
AAUAACUGUACAAAGGUGGCUUAAUAAUUAGUUUUUUAAUUGAAAACUAGAAUGAAUGAUUUAAUGAAAUAUAAACUGUCUCAAAUUUAUUAAAUAAAUUUUUUCUUUAAAUUAAAAAAUUUAGGUAAUUUGAAAAGACGAUAAGACCCUAAAGAAUUUUUAUAAUUUAUUUUUUUUUACUAAUAAAAAUUAAAUUAUUUUAAUUGGGGAAAUUUUAAAAUUUAAAAAAUUUUUAAUUAAAUUAACAAAUAUUUUUGAUUAAAUAAUAUUUUUUAAAAAAAAAAAUUAAAUUACCUUAGGGAUAACAGCAUAAUUUUUUUUUUAAGUCCAAAUUUUUAAAAAAGUUUAU